RNAcentral lists this ribosomal RNA (388 nucleotides) under Obesogammarus platycheir. RNAcentral's name for it is "partial 16S ribosomal RNA". Lineage: Eukaryota; Metazoa; Arthropoda; Malacostraca; Amphipoda; Gammaridae. The record is from RNAcentral.
UUGAAAACUAGAAUGAAUGGUUUAAUUAACUAAAAUUAGUUUGUUUUUUUAAUAGUAAAUUAUAUAUAAAGUAAGAAUACUUUUAUAAAUUAAGGGACGAUAAGACCCUAAAAGCUUUAUAAUUAAAAAUUUAUUAGUGUUAUUUAUAAUAAAUAUUAAUUUGCUGGGGCAGUAGUUUUAAAUAAAUUUUAAUUUUAUUUAAAGAUCCUUUAAAUAAAGAUUAUUUGGGUAAGUUACUUUAGGGAUAACAGUGCAAUAUAUUUGGGGAGACCUUAUCUAUAAAUAUGCUUGCAACCUCGAUGUUGAAUUAGAAAUUCUACAUGGGUAGAAUAUAUGCCAGAAAGUUUGUUCAACUUUUAAAUUUCUACAUGAUCUGAGUUCAAACCGG